RNAcentral lists this ribosomal RNA (253 nucleotides) under uncultured bacterium. Its description in RNAcentral is "partial 16S ribosomal RNA". It matches the Rfam family "Bacterial small subunit ribosomal RNA", at positions 524 to 776 of the family's 1533-position model. The record is from RNAcentral.
UACGGAGGGUGCAAGCGUUAUCCGGAUUCACUGGGUUUAAAGGGUGCGUAGGAGGACUGGUAAGUCAGUGGUGAAAUCCCCGAGCUUAACUUGGGAACUGCCGUUGAUACUAUCAGUCUUGAAUACCGUGGAGGUGAGCGGAAUAUGUCAUGUAGCGGUGAAAUGCUUGGAUAUGACAUAGAACACCAAUUGCGAAGGCAGCUCGCUACACGAAUAUUGACUCUGAGGCACGAAAGCGUGGGGAUCAAACAGG